This 402-nucleotide ribosomal RNA is filed under the name Bacteroidota bacterium. RNAcentral describes it as "Bacteroidetes bacterium partial 16S ribosomal RNA". It matches the Rfam family "Bacterial small subunit ribosomal RNA", at positions 355 to 776 of the family's 1533-position model. Lineage: Bacteria; Pseudomonadati; Bacteroidota. The record is from RNAcentral.
UGGGGAAUUUUGCACAAUGGGGGAAACCCUGAUGCAGCGACGCCGCGUGAUUUAGAAGGCCUUCGGGUUGUAAAAAUCUUUUUUACGGGAUGAAAAUGACAGUACCGUAAGAAUAAGGUCCGGCUAAAUACGUGCCAGCAGCCGCGGUAAUACGUAUGGACCGAGCGUUGUCCGGAAUCAUUGGGCGUAAAGGGUACGUAGGCGGCCUAGUAAGUUAGAAGUUAAAGAAUAUAGCUCAACUAUAUAAAGCUUUUAAAACUGCUAGGCUUGAGAGAUGGAAGGGAAAGUGGAAUUCCUAGUGUAACGGUGAAAUGCGCAGAUAUUAGGAAGAAUACCGGUGGCGAAGGCGACUUUCUGGUCAUCAUCUGACGCUGAGGUACGAAAGCGUGGGUAGCAAACAGG